CGGGAGGCAGCAGCAGGGAAUAUUGUGCAAUGAACGAAAGUUUGACACAGCGACACCGCGUGUGGGAUGACGGAUCUAGGUUUGUAAACCACUUUCAGGAGGGAAGAAAAUGACGGUACCUCCAUAAGAAGCCCCGGCCAACUACGUGCCAGCAGCCGCGGUAAUACGUAGGGGGCGAGCGUUGUCCGGAUUUAUUGGGCGUAAAGAGCUCGUAGGCGGUUCAACAAGUCGGUCGUGAAAGUUCAGGGCUCAACCCUGAAAUGUCGAUCGAUACUGUUGUGACUAGGAUACGGUAGAGGUGAGUGGAAUUCCGAGUGUAGCGGUGAAAUGCGUAGAUAUUCGGAGGAACACCAAUUGCGAAGGCAGCUCACUGGGCCGCUAUCGACGCUGAGGAGCGAAAGCUAGGGGAGCAAACAGGAUUAGAUACCCUGGUAGUCCUAGCUGUAAACGAUGGAUACUAGACGUAGGAACUGGAUUGACGGUCUCUGUGUCGCAGCUAACGCGUUAAGUAUCCCGCCUGGGGAGUACGGUCGCAAGACUAAAACUCAAAGGAAUUG
This 557-nucleotide ribosomal RNA is filed under the name uncultured bacterium. RNAcentral describes it as "bacterial SSU rRNA". It matches the Rfam family "Bacterial small subunit ribosomal RNA", at positions 342 to 912 of the family's 1533-position model. The record is from RNAcentral.